ACUGUAGGCUGCAACUCGCCUACACGAAGCUGGAAUCGCUAGUAAUCGCGGAUCAGCACGCCGCGGUGAAUACGUUCCCGGGCCUUGUACACACCGCCCGUCACACCAUGAGAGUCUGUAACACCCAAAGCCGGUGGGAUAACCUUUAUAGGAGUCAGCCGUCUAAGGUGGGACAGAUGAUUAGGGUGAAGUCGUAACAAGGUAUC
This 206-nucleotide ribosomal RNA is filed under the name uncultured bacterium. RNAcentral describes it as "partial 16S ribosomal RNA". It matches the Rfam family "Bacterial small subunit ribosomal RNA", at positions 1297 to 1500 of the family's 1533-position model. The record is from RNAcentral.